AGCAGUCGCCGCGGUAAUACGAAGGGUGCAAGCGUUACUCGGAAUUACUGGGCGUAAAGCGUGCGUAGGUGGUGGUUUAAGUCCGUUGUGAUAGCCCUGGGCUCAACCUGGGAAUUGCAGUGGAUACUGGGUCACUAGAGUGUGGUAGAGGAUAGUGGAAUUUCCGGUGUAGCAGUGAAAUGCGUAGAGAUCGGAAGGAACAUCUGUGGCGAAGGCGACUAUCUGGGCCAACACUGACACUGAGGCACGAAAGCGUGGGGAGCAAACAGGAUUAGAUACCCGUGUAGUCCCUGUCUCUUAUAC
This 303-nucleotide ribosomal RNA is filed under the name uncultured bacterium. RNAcentral describes it as "partial 16S ribosomal RNA". It matches the Rfam family "Bacterial small subunit ribosomal RNA", at positions 507 to 807 of the family's 1533-position model. The record is from RNAcentral.